This 502-nucleotide ribosomal RNA is filed under the name uncultured bacterium. RNAcentral describes it as "partial 16S ribosomal RNA". It matches the Rfam family "Bacterial small subunit ribosomal RNA", at positions 30 to 523 of the family's 1533-position model. The record is from RNAcentral.
AUUGAACGCUGGCGGCGUGCCUAACACAUGCAAGUCGAGCGGUAACAGGUGUAGCAAUACAUGCUGACGAGCGGCGAACGGGUGAGUAAUGCUUCGGAAUCUACCUUAUGGUGGGGAAUAACUAGCCGAAAGGUUAGCUAAUACCGCAUACGUCCUACGGGAGAAAGCAGGGGAUCGCAAGACCUUGCGCCAAAAGAUGAGCCGAAGUCGGAUUAGCUAGUUGGUAGGGUAACGGCCUACCAAGGCGACGAUCCGUAGCUGGUCUGAGAGGACGACCAGCCACACUGGGACUGAGACACGGCCAAGACUCCUACGGGAGGCAGCAGUGGGGAAUAUUGGACAAUGGGGGAAACCCUGAUCCAGCGACGCCGCGUGUGUGAAGAAGGCCUGCGGGUUGUAAAGCACUUUUAGUGGGGAUGAAAUGUGCAGGGUUAAUACCUCUGCAUUUUGACCUAACCCACAGUAAAAGCACCGGCUAACUCUGUGCCAGCCGCCGCCGUAA